CUACGGGUUGCUCCAGUGAGGAAUAUUGCACAAUGGGGGGAACCCUGAUGCAGCAACGCCGCGUGGAGGAUGACGCAUUUUGGUGUGUAAACUCCUUUUAUAUGUCAAGAAAAUGACGGUAGCAUAUGAAUAAGCACCGGCUAACUCCGUGCCAGCAGCCGCGGUAAUACGGAGGGUGCAAGCGUUACUCGGAAUCACUGGGCGUAAAGGACGCGUAGGCGGGUUGGAAAGUCAGGUGUGAAAUCCUACAGCUUAACUGUAGAACUGCACCUGAAACUUCUAAUCUAGAGUAUGGGAGGGGGAGAUGGAAUUAGUGGUGUAGGGGUAAAAUCCGUAGAUAUCACUAGGAAUACCUAAAGCGAAGGCGAUCUCCUGGAACAUUACUGACGCUAAGGCGUGAAAGCGUGGGGAGCAAACAGGAUUAGAUACCCUAGUAGUC
Molecule: ribosomal RNA, 439 nt
Filed under: uncultured bacterium
Lineage: Bacteria
Description: partial 16S ribosomal RNA
Rfam family: Bacterial small subunit ribosomal RNA
Source: RNAcentral